RNAcentral lists this long non-coding RNA (241 nucleotides) under Elaeis guineensis (African oil palm). RNAcentral's name for it is "long non-coding RNA (EGUI_LNC063822)". The record is from RNAcentral. Lineage: Eukaryota; Viridiplantae; Streptophyta; Magnoliopsida; Arecales; Arecaceae.
CUGACACUUAACCAAAAGUGUCCGUUGUUGAGGCACAGUCACUACACACAUCUCUUCUCUGAAGAUUAAGUAGAGUACAUAAUGUACCACUUAGGUAUGGGCUUGUCAUUAAGAAUUACAACACAUCACACAUCAUUAAGAAUAAUGAUCCAACUACCUAUUCAGAAGCUGUCAUGAGUAGUAACUCUGACAAAUGACUUGAAGCCAUGAAAUCUAAAAUGGACUCCAUAUAUACUAAUCA